UACAGAGGUCCCAAGCGUUGUUCGGAUUCACUGGGCGUAAAGGGUGCGUAGGCGGUCGGGUAAGUCUGAUGUGAAAUCUCACAGCUUAACUGUGAAACUGCAUUGGAUACUAUCCGGCUCGAGGAAUGGAGGGGAGACUGGAAUACUUGGUGUAGCAGUGAAAUGCGUAGAUAUCAAGUGGAACACCAGUGGCGAAGGCGAGUCUCUGGACAUUUCCUGGCGCUGAGGCACGAAAGCCAGGGAGCAAACGGG
This 252-nucleotide ribosomal RNA is filed under the name uncultured bacterium. Its description in RNAcentral is "partial 16S ribosomal RNA". It matches the Rfam family "Bacterial small subunit ribosomal RNA", at positions 524 to 776 of the family's 1533-position model. The record is from RNAcentral.